CGGCACGCCUAACACAUGCAAGUCGAACGAAGUAGCAAUACUUAGUGGCAGACGGGUGAGUAACAUGUGGGUAUCUACCCUUUGGCCUGGAAUAACACGAGGAAACUUGUGCUAAUACCGGAUAAGUCUUUACGGAGAAAGCUUUAUGCACCAUUGGAUGAGCCUGCAUUUGAUUAGUUUGUUGGUAGGGUAAUGGCCUACCAAGACUUUGAUCAAUAGCUGAUUUGAGAGGAUGAUCAGCCACAUUGGGACUGAGACACGGCCCAAACUCCUACGGGAGGCAGCAGUGGGGAAUCUUGCACAAUGGAGGAAACUCUGAUGCAGCGAUGCCGCGUGAGUGAAGAAGGCCUUUGGGUUGUAAAGCUCUUUCGUCGGGGAAGAAAAUGACUGUACCCGAAUAAGAAGGUCCGGCUAACUUCGUGCCAGCAGCCGCGGUAAUACGAAGGGACCUAGCGUAGUUCGGAAUUACUGGGCUUAAAGAGUUCGUAGGUGGUUGAAAAAGUUGGUGGUGAAAUCCCAGAGCUUAACUCUGGAACUGCCAUCAAAACUUUUCAGCUAGAGUUUGAUAGAGGAAAGCAGAAUUUCUAGUGUAGAGGUGAAAUUCGUAGAUAUUAGAAAGAAUACCAAUUGCGAAGGCAGCUUUCUGGAUCAUUACUGACACUGAGGAACGAAAGCAUGGGUAGCGAAGAGGAUUAGAUACCCUCGUAGUCCAUGCCGUAAACGAUGUGUGUUAGACGUUGGAAAUUUAUUUUCAGUGUCGCAGCGAAAGCGAUAAACACACCGCCUGGGGAG
This 792-nucleotide ribosomal RNA is filed under the name uncultured Pelagibacteraceae bacterium. RNAcentral's name for it is "bacterial SSU rRNA". It matches the Rfam family "Bacterial small subunit ribosomal RNA", at positions 40 to 880 of the family's 1533-position model. The record is from RNAcentral. Lineage: Bacteria; Pseudomonadati; Pseudomonadota; Alphaproteobacteria; Candidatus Pelagibacterales; Candidatus Pelagibacteraceae.